Molecule: ribosomal RNA, 274 nt
Filed under: uncultured bacterium
Lineage: Bacteria
Description: partial 16S ribosomal RNA
Rfam family: Bacterial small subunit ribosomal RNA
Source: RNAcentral
AUACGGAGGGUGCGAGCGUUAAUCGGAAUUACUGGGCGUAAAGAGUGCGUAGGCGGUUAUUUAAGUCGGGUGUGAAAGCCCCGGGCUCAACCUGGGAGGGUCAUUCGAAACUGGAUAACUGGAGUCUGGCAGAGGCUGGCGGAAUUCCCGGUGUAGCGGUGAAAUGCGUAGAUAUCGGGAGGAACAUCAGUGGCGAAGGCGGCCAGCUGGGCCAAGACUGACGCUGAGGCACGAAAGCGUGGGGAGCAAACAGGAUUAGAAACCCCAGUAGUCC